GGAGGGGGGAACGCUAGAUGCCGCAGAAGACGCCGCCACUGUUCUCGCCCGGGUCCAACGCAGACGAGCCCGAGCUCCCACCGCCUGCGGCUCCACCGCUGCCAGGGUCCCGCACAGUGACCGCACUGGUGCCAUGCUGCUUGUCGGCUUAUGCUCCGGCAGGAGGCCGUUCAGAGCCUCCAGUCCACGAGCACCGAGAGGCCUCUGCCAAAUUCUCGGGGGUGCGGUGGGGCUUGGUUCACCCGUGGAGGAAAAACUGCUUGACGCCAUCUCAAAGACCAGCACCGAGCCUUUCAGGUACUUCCCAGGGAAUGGCACUGCAACUCACUGCGGCAACCAUAAUUUUGUACCCUCAAAAUAACUCUUUCCAGCUGUACUCCGCAUAACGAGCCCCGGAAACAAUCCACCCCCGCACCACCACCACCACCGACGCCAGGCAAGGGGCUCCCUGCUCCCAUGGAGACCCAGGAGGGACCCCUGGACCCCGCAGUCUGACGCGAGGGCAAUACCACAGGACAUCUGCCCGAGGACAGGCCUAGGGCCAGGGGGCCCCAGAGAGUUAACCAGCUCCAAAAAACAGGACGGAGCAGGAACGUCAAAGGCCAUCUUGGAAUCAGAGAGGUGGAGAGAAAACGGAAAAAAGAAAGCAAACUUUGCCACCGAGGGACUUAGUCAGAUGUUUUCAGUUUCUCAGAAUUACACGCGCAGCACCUGCAGGCCAAUCCACGUCCGAUUCCUGCUGUUGAGAAGAAAUUACUCUCCAUGAGCCAGCACCCACAGCCUGUCCUGAGGACGGUGCCACUUUCAGGGAGGCCCCAGAUGACUGCUGUCGGCUCAGCCACAGGAGGGAAGCCCAGGGCCUAGCCUGGACGGAGCCUUCGGCAGGGCUUGUGCCCAGUGAUUCUCCACCAGCCGGGCAGCGCAGACAGGUCCUGCGGGAAGAACUCUCCCUCGGUGGGCCGGGGGCUGAGCCAGGCAGGCCCUAGUUGGGCCGUUUCAUCAGAGGACACUGGUUUCAUGGCUGGUGUGGAGGCAAACCGCACAGGGCCUGAGCUCCCCAGCAAAGCCCUGUGCUGUGGCAGAAGUACCUGGAGGAGCGGGACAUUGCACUUGGCCUCCCCAGCUUUUUCUUUUCUGUCUCCACGGCCUGAACACAGAGCCGAUGGGCCCAGAGGCCCGGUGUGGGACACAGGCUGGCUCAGCAGGGACAGCACAGGGAGUGUUCCACAUGCCAGCAGCCUCCCAGGGGUCAGGGGAUGCUCUGCCGAGACAGCCCUGGCCCUGUGUCUGUCACACAAUGCGAGGGACCCGAGCGGGUGCCAAAGAACCAAGGCCUCUGCAGACCCAGACCGAAGGUCUCCAGGGCUUUCUGGGAUGAACAAGAGCACACGGCAGCAGAGAGCCAGGCAUGUGCACAGUGUGCUGCCCUCAGCGAAGCGGGCAGUUAGAAUGCGCCGCACUUGGCUGGGGUUGGCAGAGAAGCAGGGAAGGCUCCGAGGGCUCGCCGGCGGCGUGGUGGGGCGGGCAGAGGGGCAGUACUGUUUCACUGCACACUGUCUGUUCUUUUCACAUCUGAGCCAUGCAUAUUCGAAAUGAUAAAAUAGAACCCUAUGACAUAGGCAUCUUCUUCAUUACUCAGAUCAACUGUUAAAAAUCACACAAGUGUUUUAAAAGCCAAUCUUAGAGUGGCCGCCUGCCCCGUGCUGGGCUCUGAAAGCCAGCAGCAGUCCACAGACGCCACCCCGCAGCCCGCUCCUCAGACUGCCUCAGCCCGGACUCCACCCUGGGAGCCUCACACACCUGCUGGGCCACCUGCUCAGACCUCCGCCCGCACAGGCCCACCUCCUGCCUCCCUUUCGGGCUCCAUGACAACAAACCAGCCCUCCUUGGGAACCUGCAAAUCUCCUGCCAGUCCAUCAGGAAGGUGCAAGACAACACCUGUCCCAAGUCACAGCAGCCUUGCAGGAGCCGUGGACCAGCGUCCGGGCCGGGCUAAGC
RNAcentral lists this long non-coding RNA (1998 nucleotides) under Heterocephalus glaber (naked mole-rat). RNAcentral describes it as "lncRNA (ENSHGLG00000035593.1)". The record is from RNAcentral. Lineage: Eukaryota; Metazoa; Chordata; Mammalia; Rodentia; Bathyergidae.